CUGUCCCAAGUCAGGAGCCUCUGGCCUUUGUUAGUCUUGUAUUAUUUUAAUUUUAGUUUCUUGUGUACAAUUUGGAAAUUAGUAUGGCGUUCAUAAUCACUGGACUAGUAUAUAUUUGUUUAGGGGCCAGCUGAAGGACGCCUCCGGGUGCGGGAAUUUCUCGCUACAUUGAAGACCUGUUGGUGACCCUCUGCUGUUGUUUUUUAUUUGGGCGGGUUGUUGUCUCUUUGACACAUUCCCCAUUUCCAUUCUCAAUUUUAUUCAUAUUCACAGGUUCAGUCGAAAUGCAGAAGUUUAUCCCGACGACUCGUGUAAGGAGAAUGUAAGAG
This 329-nucleotide long non-coding RNA is filed under the name Mytilus galloprovincialis (Mediterranean mussel). The record is from RNAcentral. Lineage: Eukaryota; Metazoa; Mollusca; Bivalvia; Mytilida; Mytilidae.